Molecule: unclassified non-coding RNA, 378 nt
Filed under: plant metagenome
Description: partial contains 5.8S ribosomal RNA, internal transcribed spacer 2, and large subunit ribosomal RNA
Rfam family: 5.8S ribosomal RNA (bases 1-105)
Source: RNAcentral
GAAAUGCGAUAAGUAAUGUGAAUUGCAGAAUUCAGUGAAUCAUCGAAUCUUUGAACGCACCUUACGCUCCUUGGUAUUCCUUGGAGCAUGCCUGUUUGAGUAUCAUGAAAUCUUCAAAGUAAAUCUUUUGUUAACUCAAUUGGUUUCUACUUUGGUAUUGGAGGUCUUUGCAGCUUCACACCUGCUCCUCUUUGUUCAUUAGCUGGAUCUCAGUGUUAUGCUUGGUUCCACUCGGCGUGAUAAGUUAUCUAUCGCUGAGGACACUGUAAAAGGUGGUCAAGGUAAAUGCAGAUGAACCGCUUCUAAUAGUCCAUUGACUUGGACAAUACUUUUAUGAUCUGAUCUCAAAUCAGGUAGGACUACCCGCUGAACUUAAGC